Molecule: long non-coding RNA, 5294 nt
Filed under: Equus caballus (horse)
Lineage: Eukaryota; Metazoa; Chordata; Mammalia; Perissodactyla; Equidae
Description: lncRNA (ENSECAG00000051367.1)
Source: RNAcentral
GGCAGUGAGCCAGUCCAAGGCACAAGAUCUCAUUGUACGUAGGUGCUGCCAUACCUUGUGCCUCAACUCAAAAGUGGUGACUGUCAGAGAGUCAAGUCCUUUUCAGAAGGAGAUGGAAAAACCAACCAAUCAUACUGAUUUUAUACCAUCUAACACCCCGUGCUGCCUGGCAUUGACAGAACAUCAGUGGUUAGCUAUAGUAAGAGUGCAUCAGCUGAUUGGACUGAGAUGUCAAACGUGGAAAUAGGAACACAAGAAUAGAAAAGUCACCUUGCCAAGCUCUCCACACCCAGGAGAGAACUGAGAGGAAGAUUAUGCCUGAGCUAACAUCUGUGCCAAUCUUCCUCCAUUUCCUUUUUUUGGAUGUGGGAUGCCAUCACAGCAUAGCUUCAUGAGCAGUGUAUAAGUCCAUGCCUGUGAACCCUGGGCCAUCAAAGUGGAGUGUGCAAACUUAACCGCUAUGCCACCGGGCUGACCCGAGAGUAUACCCAUCUUAAUCAUGAGAAAACUCCAAGUGAAGAGAAUGGCUCUCAACUAUAAGGAUAGAAAAUUAAGCCUCGGGUUCUGGAAGCUGUCAGAAAAUCAUCAGCGUACCCAGCCUCGCACACGAAAGAGAUGAGAUUGGGGCACCAGCUACAGCAGAUACUUGAAAAUUCCAGGCUGUGCUUAUCUGACCUGACAUUGACCUCUUGUCAAAGGCAGCUUUGUUUCCUUGGUGGUUAGUUUUAUGCCAGAAAAUACUUCUGUUUUGUAAAUGACCGGCCAGUCCUGCUGGGCAGAGCAGGGCUCCUGGCGUCGUGGUUGAGGGAGAUGGCCCAGAAUCUUGAAUGGAACUGAGGACAGGACUGACAAAGAGGAGGUGGCUUCUGAGAGCUCUUGGGUCUCCCACAGAAGAUGGUCUCAGUGACAUCUAUCUGUCCAUGUGAUGGAAGAGGCACAGCCACACUAUCCGAGCAAGGGCGUGAUCAUGGCAUCUCACCAAGGACACGUUUCCCUCAGAGGAAGGAAACCAGGAGCCCCUUCAGGCCAGAUAAUCCAGCCUGAUGUGUCAGGUACCUGGGACCUUGAGAGGAAGAGAGUGGAGGUGGGGAACUUUACGACAGGAGGGGGAAGUGUGUGUGUGUGUGUGUGUGUGUGUGUGUGUGUGUGAGUGUGUGUGUUCACACACGUGUGUUGAAUUGGGGGACAGUUAGGAUAAAGAGUUUCCUCUGGCUGUCGCAAUUUGGGAAUUGUGGGGGCUUAUACAUAACACCCAUGUUCUCCACCUGAAUUCAAAAUCCAUAGAGAGAAAGAUACAGACAGUCAACAGUUGGAGAUCCAAGUGUCAGCUUUACUACAAACAAGCUGGCUAGCCAGUGUGGCUGCAGAUCUGCAGCCCAAGGGUUAUGCCAACGCUUUGCUCUGAAAUGUCUGCAUGGACCAGAGCUCAGCAGGCCUUCCCACAGGGCCGGGCCCCUCUGCAGGCACAGGGGCACCAGGAUGGAUCCUCUGUGCCUGUAGGCAGAUCUGGAACAAGAACCAGGAAGAGCUGAGCCCUGCAGGCCCAGAUCCUUCUCCCAGGAUAUCAACCAGACAACUGACUUCCUCUCUUCCUCCCAAGAGGAUGAAUGGCGGCUGAGGGGGUGACCUUAGAAGAGGUUCCUGCUCACGAAAGUGCAAACCUAGGGGGAACCCCCCCAACAAGUUCUAUGCAGACAGAAAACAACAACUAGAAUCUGCAGUCAUUGCACUGUAAGGCUUCGCUCAUCUCUGAGUGUACCAUGAACUUCCAGGAUGUGCACUGGUGGUACCGGGGUCACCAGGCUUGGUUUUCCAGGCCCAGAGAGGCCUAUGCACUGCAACAGUGCAGCACGAGUAAUGGAAUCAGGAGAAGUGUCUAUGCAGGUAAAAAGGGCACCCCCAACCUCCCUGUACCUUGUGUGCUUCUUGAGUAUUCGUCUUACCUCCAGACAGGAAUAGUUGCUCCUAGAGAGCAGGACACAUGCACAGCCCUUCUCAGAAUUGGCCCUGUUCCUCUUCAGUUUGAUUCACUCAUGGCAUAGGAACUUGGUCCCCAUCCACCCCCAUGUGACUGAAAGCUGUCAGGUCUAGAGAACAACUGAGACUGUUCCUGUCAGUCCUGAUCUUGGAGACUAUUGCAAUCAGUAAAUCCCACCAUUGGAAGGUGGCCUUGUGUAAACUACCCCCAUGAAAAUUUCCUUCAAAGAGAUGAGGGGCUGUGGGUGGGGGAAGUGGGCAAAGGUGGUCAAAAGGUACGAACUUCCAGUUAUCAGAUAAACAAGUCCUGGGAUGUAACGUCCAGCAUGGUGACUCUAGCUUAUAAUACUGUGUUGUGUAUUUGAAAGGUACUAAGAGAGUAGAUCCUAAAAGUUCUCAUCACAAGAAAAAGAUUGUAUUGAUGCGAGGUGAUGGAUGUUAACCCAACUUAUUGUGGUGAUCAUUUUAUAAUAUAUACAUACAUCAAACCAGUAUGUUGUACAUCUAGAACUAAUAAAACGUUGUAUGUCAAUUAUAUCUCAAUAAAACUGGAAAAGUUUUUCAAAAAUUCCCUCAACAAUCCCUUUCAGAUAGUUGUUUGUAUCGCUUCUCUUUUCCACAACCUCCUUUAGUAACCGCACUGAAUCCCGAAUUGGUUUUGUGACUGUAAUCUCAAUUGGCUGGCUGCUGUGUGGCAGGAUCGUGUUUAAUUUGAUUUUAAGCUUAACUGAUGCCUUACUUCUUUUCAAAUGUCUGUGGUGGUACAAAUCCUCCUAAACUAUGUUGCAGGAUUUUAGGUUCUCCUUGCCUCGCCACUGUGGGGGAAUUACUCUGAGACAGGUCCAGGCUAACUGGGUGGGUUGAAUAUGCAGAUGUUUGCUGGGGUUGCAGCAGGAAGCCAGGUGGAGAACAUGGAAGGGCAGCUCCAGGUUGCUGAGUCACGGGCAAGAAGAGGAGAGGGCAGAGCUGGGAAGAGCUUCCCAUUAGGGCCCAGAGUGAGGAAUAGAAAGCAGUCAGGGGCAGAUAGGGAGCGAGGAUGCUCAAGCACCAAUUGAAUCCUCUUCACUUACCCAAGUUGCAGGGGAAUCAUUAGUCUUCAGCUGUCUGCCUGUCUGCUUCCCUUUUUUUUUUUUUUUGCUGGGGAAGACUUGCCAGCAUGGCCACUGACAGACAGAGUGGUGUAGUUCCAGCCCAGGAACGAAGCCAAGCUGCCAAAGUGGAGCAUGUUGAUCUUUAACCACUAGGCCACUGGGGCUGGCCUUCUGCUUCCUUUUAAGAUCCUGCAUCCUGCUAUAUAAGCACAGGAAUCUAGACACAACUAAGGGCCUUGCAGCACCCAACAGAAUGUUCUGAAACUAAUUGUCCUACAUGGAAAGACCUUACAAAUACUUAUAUUAAUUACUUCUGUGAAGUACUUCUAUGUACAUAAAAAUGGCAGUAAAAUAUUAAAUGCAGAAGAUCACCAAGAAUAUAGAUGGAAUGAAAAUCGAAUGACAUCCAACUAAUGGAAAGUUUAGUGUAAUAGUAUUUAGUCUAAUUUUUCAGCCAUCGUCUUGGACUGUGAUGAUGUUCACAAAGAUUGGGAAGCUUUUCCUGCAAAUCUUCACCCGGAUCUGGGAAAAUUCUGCUCUCUGCCUGAGGGAUGCAGAUGAGGACAGUCCUGCUCCUUUGUGUGGCUUUGGAGGGCGUACAGGAUACAGAGAGAACGUGACUUGAAGAAAUGACGCUGUCUGUGAGUCCAGUUUAUUUGUGGACUCCUGAGGCUUGAGUGUAACCAGAGUAAAAUAAACGUAUAUAUGGAAACUGUAUCUGUGAAUUGCAUCCUAACCACUGUUUCCAUCUCUUUCUCUUUGCCUUUUAAUAUAGUUGAAAUGUCCCAAUAUGAGCUAGAAAACGUCUGUGUUUGUUGAUGAAAUCCAAUUGUAUGGAUAUGAUGGUGUUCAUAAAUCCUCUAAAUUCAGUGCUCUGGAAUUUUCCCAGAUUGAAAUCAAAUACACUCCUGCCUGGCUCUCAAAUUCCAAGUCAGUGGUAUCUCCCACCACACACAGCCUGUCCGUGACAUUCCUGUGGGAGGUUAUCACAAUGCAGGGACUGUGUGAGUACUCAGGGCUUAUCUAAUCAUGUUUGCUUGACACUUGUUUUACUGUGUCCAGAUCUCACCAGCUGAUCAAGUGACCGGACUGUCUAGUGAGCUGGAAAAAAAGAGAGCUUCCUACAGAUGCUUGCCCUUGUUUUAAACUCAUUCUCCGGCAAGUUAGAGGAGUUUCAUCUCACAGCUUGGACUACAUCAUUCCUGGUCAAUCACUGCCUUGGAAACCUGAGCCCUAUCCUAGCUCUCUAGUUUCAGGGAACAUUCCUGAAUGGGGCAGGUGUUUGGUCAAGAUGAUUCUUAAGGUCUUUUCCAAUUCUCCGUUUUGUGGAUGCUGAGAUCUACUUGCCACAGCAUGUAGCACAGUUCCUCCCUGUUCCCUACAACCCAAAUUGGCAUUCAAUAAAUAUUUGUGGGAUGAAUGAAUGAGUGGAUGAAUAAAUGAACAAACGGACAGAAUUGUCAACUGAUUACAGCCCCAAGUCCUUCUCCCAGUUCGUCCCUGGAAAACCAUUUUGUUUUGGGUAAAAACUCUUGCAGAAAGGACUCCUGGUACCCAAAACCCUCCCCGACAUGCCAGAGUUCCAGUGAUAGGCAAACAACCGUAUCUACUCUAGGGUUUCUCAUGCCGUGGAGAUGUAACUGAUACCCUUCAAAGCAAAAGAGGUUACCAUUUCCACCUCUUAGGAUGGCUACUAUUAAAAAAACGGAAAAUAACAAGUGUUGGUGAGGAUGUGGAGAAAUUGGAACUCUUGUACAUUGCUGAUGGAAAUGCAAAAUGGUACAGCUGCUGUGGGAAACAGGCAGUUUCUGAAAAAGUUAAGCAUAGAAUAACCAUAUAACCCAGAAAUUCCACUCCUAGGUAUAUCCUCAAAAGAAUUGAGGGGUCACCCUGGUGGCACAGUGGUUAAGUUCUCAUGUUCCGCUUUGGUGGCCCAGGGUUCGCCGGUUCAGAUCUUGGGUGUGGACCUAUGCACCACUCAUCAAGCCAUGCUGUGGCAGAUGUCCCACAUAUAAAAUAGAAAAGAUGUUCACAGAUGUUAGGUCAGGGCCAAUCUUCCUCAGCAAAAAGAGAAGGAUUGGCAGCAGAUGUUAGCUAAGGGCUAAUCUUCCUCAAAAAAAAAAAAAAAGUCAAAUUUCCUUAAAAAAAAAAAAAAGAAUUGAAAGCAGGAACUCAGGUACUUUUACAUGAAUGUUCAUAGGAAUAAUAUUCACAAUUGUCAAAAAG